AUCAAAACAAAAAGCACAGAUGAAUAGUUCCCUUUUCGACUGCGGAUGACUGCACAUCGGUACAUGUGUUUCUGUAUUUAUCGUGCCUCGGUGCCAAGCGGAGUGUGAAUUCCCCGGUUCUCCUGUAGCCAUAGAGUACCAGGACUUGCAGGCAAAUUUGGUCCACAAAACCGACGGCGACGGCCUUUUGAACGCAGGCCGCCUCGAUUGGAAGUGUCCUCUGCUCGCCGUGGAUCACAAAGACCAGGUGCAGAACAGAGAUAGAGGGAGUGCGGAAUUCCCGAAGCUCUUCUUGUCAAGACCACGGGAAUCUCCGACUCCAAGCCUCGAGACUGGAGUCGGUUAGCACAAGCCGCGACGAGUUGUGUGCGUUCAGAAUCAUCCAGGCGGCAAAAAGGCAAACACCACACAGCUGUCAGCAGCUGGUCCAUGAGCUGUGCAACGACAUUCCGGAACUUCCGCCCAAGUGGCAACUCCACGCGCUGAGAAUUGAUUAUUAUUCAUUCAAACAAGGACGGCCCGGGCUUCCGUUACCUCUCGGAAUAAGUGUGCAACCCCGGAGUCAGUAGAGUCAGUAGAGUAGAAAGAUUUACAUUCGAUUUGCCCCUGGUUCGACGACUACGACGACGUCGCGCGACGGAACUCUCUCUCGCCGCUUGCCGUGUCUCGUGUGUCUGCGGUUUCGAAUUCCCAAACGUUCCGUUGUGUCGUCCUUCUCCCCUUAGUUUGGUACCACAAGUUCAGGGUGGUUUUGUGAGUGCGUCUCUGCCUGUGAUUCGAUUAGUAUCAGCUCGUUGAUUAUGGUUCAAAUAAUUUAAUUUCGUUCUCGGGUGGUUCCAGCUGACGGUCAAACAGCCGGGGAGCUCUUCGGAAGUGUGUGUAGUACAUCUCGUCCAUGCGAGACAGAAGAAGAAUCGAAAAAAAUAAAUAGGAGGACAAUUGUGGAGUGUGUCGAACACGUGGGUGCAAUCAACAGAUUCAACUUUUGCGAAUUCAACAAUCGCAGCAGAGUUCAGUGAAGAGUUAGCAGAGUGUUAUUCCAAGUGAUUUGGUGAUCAGUGACCCUGAAAGUCUGAACUGUUAAACCAGUUGGGCGUCGAACCAGAACAACCAGAACCAACUGGCACCGGUCAAAGUCAUCAUCUGUUUCGAGAGAACAAAAUUUGAGAUCUCACUCAACCAUGGGAAAACGAAUCUGAACAAAUCGAGCCCCAGCAAUAACAGGGAGAUUCCACGGCCACGAAGUCCACAGGAAGAGGACGAAAAAAAAGUACGGUGCCAUCAUAGUCGCCAUCGUUGCCGCCGCUGCUUUUGCCGCCGGACCGGAACAUGGGACACUUGAGAAACAAACAGCGCCGGCACCAGCAGAAGGAAGCGGCACUCCGGCGGGAAGAACGACUACGGAAACAGCAGCUCGAUGAGGUGGACAUUAUGAAUUUGGUAAGUGGCCAAAAAAACACCCAGAAACUCUGAAGUGAAGGGCGCGAAGACGAUAGUUGGUUCCUGGUGCUUACUUCUUUGAGGGUUUUUUCCCUGCUCUUAAUUUAAGGACCAGGAUUGCGGCGAAUGAGCAUUAACGAAGGUACUGGAUUUUUGGAGAAGGAAACUUUCAGGGGAAUAAAUUAUUGCUUAAAAUAAUGUGAA
Long non-coding RNA from Aedes aegypti (yellow fever mosquito), 1644 nucleotides. RefSeq lists it as uncharacterized. The record is from RefSeq and is a predicted model, not a curated record. Lineage: Eukaryota; Metazoa; Arthropoda; Insecta; Diptera; Culicidae. The transcript has 4 exons.